CAGACGUGUUCAUCUGCAGCCGGUUAUGCCGACUGCCCAGGGGAGGGUGCGGCCUCCCCAACAGCCAGCGCCCGGAGGGGAGGGGACGGCCGAAUAAGGCCCCUCCGCCCGGCUGUGCCUGUCCCGCCCAACCCCUUGGCCCGGAAGCUUCCCUUUCGCUGCUGCAGCAGGAAAACAAACCCCAAAUGCCCCCAAACAAAAUUACACCCUCAGUGACGUGCAGUAAACGGUACUUUUGGAAUCUCUACAUACUGCCUGGAAAUGAAUAUCCAUGAGGUUCUUGAGGCCUUGGCUCAUGGGAUGAAGGUUCUAAACUCGGCCAUCGACUCACAAUUUGCAUUUAGGCAAAUCACUUGCUCUCUCAGGACUUCACUUCCCAUCUGAAAAGGAGUGUUUUGAACUAGAUGGUCAGCAGGAGAGCUGGAAUCUGAACCGGUGCCUUGUGGAAAGUAUUUCAGGGCUGGAUGAAAGAGGGGGAGAGAGGACCAGAAUGGAGGCAACAGGGACAGAGAUGGCUGGAAGCUUUGGUUCUGAGGGUUUGUAAUUGUCCUUAACUCACAUGGAAUGAAAGCUCGCCUGUCUUUCUUCCUGGGGCUUGUGUAAGAACAUCUGCUGAAGAAUCUUAACAGCGUAAGUGAC
Long non-coding RNA from Nycticebus coucang (slow loris), 639 nucleotides. RefSeq lists it as uncharacterized. The record is from RefSeq and is a predicted model, not a curated record. Lineage: Eukaryota; Metazoa; Chordata; Mammalia; Primates; Lorisidae. The transcript has 3 exons.